UACGGAGGGUGCAAGCGUUAUCCGGAUUUACUGGGUUUAAAGGGUGCGUAGGUGGGCAGUUAAGUCAGUGGUGAAAUCUCCGAGCUUAACUCGGAAACUGCCAUUGAUACUAUCUGUCUUGAAUAUCCUGGAGGUGAGCGGAAUAUGUCAUGUAGCGGUGAAAUGCUUAGAUAUGACAUAGAACACCAAUUGCGAAGGCAGCUGGCUACACAUAUAUUGACACUGAUGCACGAAAGCGUGGGGAUCAAACAGG
RNAcentral lists this ribosomal RNA (253 nucleotides) under uncultured bacterium. RNAcentral describes it as "partial 16S ribosomal RNA". It matches the Rfam family "Bacterial small subunit ribosomal RNA", at positions 524 to 776 of the family's 1533-position model. The record is from RNAcentral.